This 497-nucleotide ribosomal RNA is filed under the name uncultured bacterium. RNAcentral describes it as "partial 16S ribosomal RNA". It matches the Rfam family "Bacterial small subunit ribosomal RNA", at positions 28 to 507 of the family's 1533-position model. The record is from RNAcentral.
GAUGAACGCUGGCGGCGUGCCUAAUACAUGCAAGUCGAGCGAACGGACGAUAAGCUUGCUUCUCUGAUGUUAGCGGCUGACGGGUGAGUAACACGUGGAUCACCUACCUCUAAGACUUGGAUAACUUCGGGAAACCGGAUCUAAUACCGGCUAAUAUUUUGAACCGCAUGGUUCAAAAGUUCAAGACGGUUUUGCUGUCACUUAUAGCUGGAUCCGCGUUGCAUUAGCUAGUUGGUAAGGUAACGGCUUACCAAGGCAACGAUGCAUAGCCGACCUGAGAGGAUGAUCAGCCACACUGGAACUGAGACACGGUCCAGACUCCUACGGGAGGCAGCAGUAGGGAAUAUUGGGCAAUGGGCGAAAGCCUGAUGGAGCAACGCCGCGUGAGUGAUGAAGGCCUUCGGGUCGUAAAGCUCUGUUAUUAGGGAAGAAAAGAUGUGGAAGAAAAUGCGCAUAUCUUGACGGUACCUAAUGAGAAAGCAACGGCUAACUACGUG